This 248-nucleotide long non-coding RNA is filed under the name Bos taurus (domestic cattle). Its description in RNAcentral is "long non-coding RNA NONBTAT012551". Lineage: Eukaryota; Metazoa; Chordata; Mammalia; Artiodactyla; Bovidae. The record is from RNAcentral.
GUUUAAGUAAUUUGCACAGUAUCAUCUUAAAAGCUUUUUUCAUUUUCUCUUUUUAGAUCUACUUCCCAUAGUUUUCUUUGUUUUGUUUGAUAAAUAUUAUUUUAGUUUCCUCUCAGAAUUUAUCAUCAGAAAAAUCCGUUAUAAAUGCAGUAUGAAAACAAACUGAAACUGGUUCUAAAGGUCAUCUAGUUGUUUUAGUUGCAAUUACCCUUUUGUGACUAUUUCACAUAUAUCAUACUGAAUAAAUG